This 67-nucleotide transfer RNA is filed under the name Marmota monax (woodchuck). RNAcentral's name for it is "tRNA.Ala". The record is from RNAcentral. Lineage: Eukaryota; Metazoa; Chordata; Mammalia; Rodentia; Sciuridae.
GGAUAUUGCUCAGUGGUAGAGCACUUGCCUAGCAUGUGCAAGGCCCUGGAUUCAAUCCCCAGUACCA